ANAAAGCCGGUCAUUGAAACUCAUCUCUCUAUAACAAUAAAUUUCUAAUGACUUGGGACAAGGAUAACAAACCUUCCUCUUAACAAAGAAAAAACUUGAAAAACUGGGUUUCGAUCAAUUGAAUUGUUUGCUAAUAAUUACUGUGAUUUGACAUAAAUUAAGAAUCCUUUAUCAAACACCAACUGAUAAAAUUAAAUUAAGCAUCUUCUUACAUUCGACACCACUAUACCAUGUACAUCUUCUCAUACAUAAUUCAAAUUUCGGUGCCGAAAAAAGAAAUGGAUAGAACUCAGUAACACUGUUCAGCUAAGAUUUCCACACAGAUAUCAUUUGCCCUUUACAACAAUUAAAUUUUUUUCCCACCGAAUCAAAAUCAAAAUCAAGCGGCAUGACCAACAACUCCAGAACCAUAUAAAAUUAGCAGGAAGAUUGAAUCACUAAAGUAACACAGAAAAAGAAUUCAAAAACAUAUAUUACCUCUAAAUAAAAUUCAAGAUUUCAUUGGAUGAACUCCCAAGAUUCCAGGAGAGUGUGGCCACCGCUUUAAGUAAAUACGUUAAUAAUAAAUUAAUAAAUAACUAGGUGUUCUAAUUUUUUAUUCGACAAGACUCCAGAAAGAGAGAUGAUAAAACACAUUUAGGUUGCUUACAACGUGUGCUUUCUCUAAAAUCCAAGAAAAUAUCAUAAUUGUAAUUCACACUAGUCUCAAAGUACAUAAAUUGUCAUUUUCUUUCUUUUUCUGUUUCUUGGAUUAUUUAACGUGGAAGAGGUGGAGUGCACGAAACGAUUUGAAGAAGCGAACAUUUUGUGGACGCAGACCGCGUGUUGAAACUGGAAACUCAUACGUGCCUACAUCUGAUGACUUUAAGGAUGUUCUUCCAAAUCAAGAAUUGACAAUUUCAUCUGAUAGGGUUUUAUUAAUUUUUAUAAACUUAUUUU
This 939-nucleotide long non-coding RNA is filed under the name Olea europaea subsp. europaea. Lineage: Eukaryota; Viridiplantae; Streptophyta; Magnoliopsida; Lamiales; Oleaceae. The record is from RNAcentral.